Molecule: ribosomal RNA, 460 nt
Filed under: uncultured bacterium
Lineage: Bacteria
Description: partial 16S ribosomal RNA
Rfam family: Bacterial small subunit ribosomal RNA
Source: RNAcentral
CCUACGGGAGGCAGCAGUGAGGAAUAUUGGUCAAUGGGCGAGAGCCUGAACCAGCCAAGUCGCGUGAAGGAUGACGGCCCUACGGGUUGUAAACUUCUUUUGUCAGGGAGCAAUUGGGUCCACGCGUGGGCUUAGCGAGAGUACCUGAAGAAAAAGCAUCGGCUAACUCCGUGCCAGCAGCCGCGGUAAUACGGGGGAUGCGAGCGUUAUCCGGAUUUAUUGGGUUUAAAGGGUGCGUAGGCGGAAUAUCAAGUCAGCGGUAAAAAUUCGGGGCUCAACCCCGUCGUGCCGUUGAAACUGAUGGUCUUGAGUGGGCGAGAAGUAUGCGGAAUGCGUGGUGUAGCGGUGAAAUGCAUAGAUAUCACGCAGAACUCCGAUUGCGAAGGCAGCAUACCGGCGCCCAACUGACGCUGAAGCACGAAAGCGUGGGUAUCGAACAGGAUUAGAUACCCCAGUAGUC